Fukomys damarensis (Damara mole-rat) is the source of this 1453-nucleotide non-coding RNA. The record is from the annotation of a RefSeq genome assembly. Lineage: Eukaryota; Metazoa; Chordata; Mammalia; Rodentia; Bathyergidae.
AUGCCGGAAGCAUUUAGAUGGCACCUUGCCACCCAACAGGAUCUGCACAUAUUCAUCACUUCGACAUGCAGACCACCAGGGGAAAAUGACCGCGUAUACCUAGUCUGCUUAGCGUCUGGGUAUGGUGCAAACAUACAGGUCACUUGGCACUCAGGGGCAAGGACGAAGUCCCAGCAGACCUUCCCCACUGUCCAGAAUGGCGGAGUUUACACCGUGAGCAGCCAGCUCUCCUUUCCGAUGGCUGAGUUGAAUCUUGGCCCCCACGAAUGCAGCACCUCUCCAGACAAGUGGAGCUCGAAGAAGACAUUCCAGCAACCAGAUUCCUGGACUGCUCAGAACUCCCUGGGGCCCUUCACACUUCCUAGAGCAGAGAGGGGCUCCACUCAGGCCACCAGAGAUACCACCACCACCACUACCACCACCACCACCACCACUAGGGACACCACCAUCACCAGGAACACAGAAUGUCCCAGCCACACAUACCUUCCUGCCAUCUACCUGCUUCACCCUAGCCUGGAGGGCCUGUGGUUCCAAAAGGAGGCCACCUUUACCUGCCUGGUGGUGGGACAUGACCUUCAGGAAGCCAAGCUGUCCUGGAUGGUGGACAGGGAAGCUGUCAAUAGCAGCACAGAGAGGAAACAAUUUCUCAAUGGCUCCGAAACACUGAGCAGCCGUCUGGGCCUACCCAGGACCACAUGGGACCAUGGGACACCUGUCACCUGCACGCUCAGCCACCCAGGCCUUGAGUCCCCCAAGGAGAUGACAGCACAGCGGGAAGAAGUGGCCAAGGCACCCAGCAACCUUUCUGUCAGCCUCCUGGAUACACCCUCCUCUCCUAAGGCGGCCACAUGGUUUCUGUGUGAGGUUUCUGGCUUCUCACCUCCUGACAUCCUCCUCAUAUGGCUGGAGGGCCAGCAGGAAGUGGACCGCUCCCGGUUUGCCACAGCCCACUCCACUCCCAAGGAGGGCAAUGCCAUCUUCCAGACCUGGAGCAUUCUGCACAUCCCAGCCACCUCCAGCCCCCUGAUGGCUGCCUACACAUGUGUGGUAGGACACGAGGCCUCCCGGACAGUGCUCAGUGCCAACAGGAGCCUGGACACUGGUGGUCUGGUCGCUACCACCAGCCCACUGCCCCAGAGCAGGGACGAGAACAGCAACGACUACCCUGAGAUGGAGGAGGAUGGCAGCCUGUGGCCCACACUGUGCACCUUCGUGGCACUCUUCCUCCUCACACUGCUUUACAGUGGCUUUGUCACCUUCAUCAAGGUGAAAUAGCCCAGCCACAGCUGACAUCAUGAAGCCACAAGAAGGGAUGCUCAGUCUUGAAUCCCAUCUCAGACACUGCCUCACACAGAGACAAGGCGUUCCAAGGCUCCCCUCUGCCCACACAGGACCCCACCUACCCUGUACUGCCCAGAACCUCCCUCUGCUCUGUCAGAGCUUCAUCAAGCUG